Molecule: transfer RNA, 70 nt
Filed under: Sphaerodactylus townsendi
Lineage: Eukaryota; Metazoa; Chordata; Lepidosauria; Squamata; Sphaerodactylidae
Description: tRNA-Ala
Source: RNAcentral
GUCUGUGGCUCAGUGGUAGAGCAUCUACUUUGCAUGCAGAAGGUCCCAGAUUGAAUCCUUAGCAUCGCCA